RNAcentral lists this long non-coding RNA (1129 nucleotides) under Vombatus ursinus (common wombat). RNAcentral's name for it is "lncRNA (ENSVURG00010011027.1)". The record is from RNAcentral. Lineage: Eukaryota; Metazoa; Chordata; Mammalia; Diprotodontia; Vombatidae.
CACCUAUCUCCACCCCCUUCUCCUCUGGCCUCCCCGGCUGUACCGGACCCCUCCUUCUGCUCCCCAUUCUCCCGUGAUCGCUCCCCCAUUUCCCUGUUCUCCCCUGCCACCCCUUGCUUCCCAUGUCCCCACUUCCUUGCCCGUUUCUUUCCCAUGCUUUUCUUUUCCUUUUCCUCUGGCUCCCCCAUUUCCUCCCCAGACCCCUGCUCUACAGGCCGCCCCCACCCAAGCCUUCAGCAAAGGCCUCGCUCCGGUCUCAUCUUCCAAAGAGACCCCUGCUCAAGUUCCGGACAAGAUUUCUCCUCCCCAGACCUCUACUUCUGACGGGACCCCAGCUAAGGCUGCAGGUAACAGUCUGGCAUUGGCGUCUCCUCCCCUGACCCCUCCCCCUCCUCCAGCGUCAGGUAAACUCUGCCUUUGCCAGCCAGACCCCUCGGCCUUGCCAGUCCAGCCGGCACUCCCCGGUCCCUCACUCCCGAGAAAUGGGACUUCUUCUCCCCCUCCCCCUCAAGCCCCUGCUCCAGCAGGCCCUUCAAGGCUCUUUUCUUUAAGGGAAGUACAUGCCUCGCCUGACGGGACACUUAGGAGGCACAUUCCAUCCUCUAUCUCAGACCUGAAGCAGAUUAAGGAAAGGCUGGUCGGUACUCUGAAGAUCCCACUAAAUUCACUGAGGGCUUCGGGGAUGUGUCCCUGCAAUUCGAACUUUCUUGGGGUGAUCUGCAUGUCCUCUUCUCCACCUGUUGUACCACUGAGGAGAGGAAGAGAAUCUGGGAACAAGCUCAGAAAUUUGGGGAUCGUUUUGCUAGCAAUGAACCUACAAAACAGCCCCCAGGAACAGCUGCUGUUCCCGCUGGUGAUCCGGGGUGGGAAUAUCAGAAGAGUGAGGAGAGGGGAAAGAGUGAUACGUGAUAGUUUGCCUGUUAGAAGGCCUGAAAACAGCAUUUCAAAGGCAAGUAAACUUUCAGAAGAUUAAUGGAAUUACUCAGGGAGAAAAGGAAAACCCUGCCCUUUUCCAAAAUAGGCUAGUAGAAGCCAUUAAAAAGUAUACAAAUUUAGAUCCUGACUCUACUGAAAUGGCAGCUGUCCUUAGCAUGUAUUUCAUUAACCAGUCUGCCCCAGAUAUGAGGAG